Parus major (Great Tit) is the source of this 738-nucleotide long non-coding RNA. NCBI's taxonomy places the organism in Eukaryota, Metazoa, Chordata, Aves, Passeriformes, Paridae. The record is from Ensembl.
ACCCAGGUGACCCAGGUGACAGCCAGGUGACACAGAGCUGACACAGAUGACACAGGAGGUGACACAGAGCUGACCCAGGUGACCCAGGUGACAGCCAGGUGACACUGACCGGCGUUGGGGCCCGCGGCGGGGCCGCCUUUGCCGCCCUCGGGCAGGGCCGGGCGCUUGGGGUCCAUCAGGAAAUUGUUGAAGAACAAAACCUCCUUGCGCACGGCGCCCAUCUUGUCCCCGUGCUUGUUAAAGAUGUGUUUGCGCACGAACUCGGGGCCCUGGGGACAGCAGGGACAGCAGGGGACAUCAGGGACAGCAGGGACAUUGGGGGAUCAGGGGACAUCAGGGGACAUUGGGGGACAUUGGGGACAUCGGGGUCACACAGCCCCAUCUUGUCCCCGUGCUUGUUAAAGAUGUGUUUGCGCACGAACUCGGGGCCCUGGGGACAGCAGGGACAGCAGGGGACAUUGGGGACAUUGGGGACAUCAGGGACAUUGGGGGAUCAGGGGACAUCAGGGGACAUUGGGGACAUUGGGGACAUCAGGGGACAUUGGGGACAUUGGGGGAUCCAGGGGACAUUGGGAUUGGGGGACUGACCCUCCACUGUCCUCCAGUGUCCCCAGGGUGUCCCCAAUGCCCCCACAGUGUCCCCAGUGAUCCCAGGGUGUCCCCAGGGUGUCCCCAGGUGUCCCCAGGGUGUCUCCAGGGUGUCCCCAAUGCCCCCAGGGUGUCCCCAAUGGUCCCAGG